This 556-nucleotide ribosomal RNA is filed under the name uncultured Glomus. RNAcentral describes it as "SSU rRNA". It matches the Rfam family "Eukaryotic small subunit ribosomal RNA", at positions 550 to 1114 of the family's 1831-position model. The record is from RNAcentral. Lineage: Eukaryota; Fungi; Glomeromycota; Glomeromycetes; Glomerales; Glomeraceae.
UUGGAGGGCAAGUCUGGUGCCAGCAGCCGCGGUAAUUCCAGCUCCAAUAGCGUAUAUUAAAGUUGUUGCAGUUAAAAAGCUCGUAGUUGAACUUCGGGGUUCACCCAUUGGUCAGGCUUAAUUGUCUGUACUGGUGAGAUGAGUCUCUACCUUCUGAGGAACUUUCAUGCCAUUUGUUUGGUGUGAUUGGAAAUCAGGACUGUUACUUUGAAAAAAUUAGAGUGUUUAAAGCAGGCUAACGUCUGAAUACAUUAGCAUGGAAUAAUGAAAUAGGACGGAUUGAUUCUAUUUCGUUGGUUUCUAGGGUCACCGUAAUGAUUAAUAGGGAUAGUUGGGGGCAUUAGUAUUCAAUUGUCAGAGGUGAAAUUCUUGGAUUUAUUGAAGACUAACUACUGCGAAAGCAUUUGCCAAGGAUGUUUUCAUUAAUCAAGAACGAAAGUUAGGGGAUCGAAGACGAUCAGAUACCGUCAUAGUCUUAACCAUAAACUAUGCCGACUAGGGAUCGGACGCAGUUAAUUUUAUAAUGACGUGUUCGGCMCCWUACGGGAAACCAAAG